AUCGUAAGCAUCACCAGCCUUGACAAAACGUCCCUUCACACGCCUUCUCACAUCAGCCCUUGCUUUGCGAGAAGCGUAUCUCACAUGCUUAUCGAAUUUGCGGGUCUUCUUCUUUUCCUUGUAGCGCAAUACAGCAUCGCUUCUGCUACUUGAUGCCAAUGAACUUUCAGGACAUCGAUGGCACCAAGGUGGUUCUCCCAUAAGUAGCAUUGUGGAGGCUCCACAUUCUUGGUAAUCCCCGCCAUUGCUCUCUCCUCCAAGGUUAGAAAAUGAGAGGAUGGAUGCUUGCCUUGCAAAGCAAACAGUAGGUUCCGUUUUGCAGCUCAUCAGAGAGUCUGCAGACUCUGCUUUGCUACAUGCUGGAAGGAUUGACAUUACCCUUCGAAUUGAUGAACCCUCGACAGCAUUGGCAUCCUGGCAGCUGGAAUCAGAAACUGACAUAUCUUUCGUCCCAAAUAAUCCAUCAAUGUCAUCAUUUUCAAAUAGCUGAUUUGGAUUAUCGAGAGAACCACUAAAUAGCUCUUCAUAAUUUUCAAAACUCAAG
Molecule: unclassified non-coding RNA, 544 nt
Filed under: Hevea brasiliensis (rubber tree)
Lineage: Eukaryota; Viridiplantae; Streptophyta; Magnoliopsida; Malpighiales; Euphorbiaceae
Source: RNAcentral